AAUCAACGCUGGCGGCGUGCCUCAGACAUGCAAGUCGAACGAUUAAAGCUCUCUUCGGAGAGUGCAUAGAGUGGCGCACGGGUGAGUAACACGUAAGUAAUCUACCCUCGAGUGGGGAAUAACGACCGGAAACGGGCGCCAAUACCGCAUAAUGCAGCGGCAUCACAAGAUGACAGAUGUUAAAGAUUUAUCGCUUGAGGAGGAGCUUGCGGCAGAUUAGCUAGUUGGGAAGGUAACGGCUUAUCAAGGCUACGAUCUGUAACCGGUCUUAGAGGACGGUCGGGCACACUGACACUGAAUAACGGGUCAGACUCCUACGGGAGGCAGCAGUCGGGAAUUUUGGGCAAUGGGCGAAAGCCUGACCCAGCAGCGCCGCGUGAAGGAUGAAGUAUUUCGGUAUGUAAACGUCGAAAGAAUAGGAAGAAUUAAUGACGGUACUAUUUAUAAGGUCCGGCUAACUACGUGCCAGCCGCCGCGGUAA
This 481-nucleotide ribosomal RNA is filed under the name uncultured bacterium. RNAcentral's name for it is "partial 16S ribosomal RNA". It matches the Rfam family "Bacterial small subunit ribosomal RNA", at positions 32 to 523 of the family's 1533-position model. The record is from RNAcentral.